This 5923-nucleotide long non-coding RNA is filed under the name Homo sapiens (human). Its description in RNAcentral is "HSALNT0231613". Lineage: Eukaryota; Metazoa; Chordata; Mammalia; Primates; Hominidae. The record is from RNAcentral.
GGGGGCGGGGAGUGGGGCCGGGCGCGCGCCGGGGCGCCCCACCCCGCCUCCGCCCCCGCCCCACGCGCCGGCGGCGCGGACCUCCUUGUCAAUGGGAGCGCGGGGCCGGGCUGCCCGCAGGACGGUCAGGUGGGCCCCCCAGCUCGCUGCCAGCGCGGCCUCUGUCCCUCUCGGGCCGGCUCUCCAUCUUGUCGCCCGUAGCCCGCCUUCUCCGUGGCUCUCCAGCCGCUGGGGCCGCAGAGCCGAGGCCGGGUUACCUCAGGAAACGCGAUGUGGUAGUGGGUCGGAAUAAACCCGCGCGCCCCAGAAUUCGCCUUGGGGGCGUAAGGACAGAUUCGGACUUUUCGUUUCCUAUGUCCACAUUUAUUGAGCACCUAAUAUGUGACACCCGAGGCUGUAAGAAGAGGAACGCAGCGGGCGGAGAAAAGCCAGAGCUUUUUCUCUGUGAGCCGCUGCCUCCAGGGCCAUAGCCGACCCUGCUCCGAGAUCCCAGCCGCCGCUCUCCGUGCAGGAGGGGUGCCCACCCUGGGGAGGCCAGGGUGCCCGGAGUGGAGGGACAGGGCUUCAAGCGACCGGGAGUUUCCAGCAAACCCCUGAUCCCUGAGCAGUUUAUUUUAAAAGCUUUUGCAAAUGUUGGACGGUUUCGUUUGGUGGAGGCCGUCUUUGCACUAAAUUCUCCUGUCCUCCCCCUUCGAAACGCACAAAAUGAAUUUUGAACAGAUUUUGGAUGAGAGGUUUUCUUCCUUUUUUCAUCUUCUGAAACAUUUCCCCCUCAUUUCUUCUCAGAUAAAGACCCAGAAACCCGGGACAGUUACUCGGUGUACAGCUAGUCAAAUACUGAGGAAACCAGUCGAUAUUUGCCAAAGAUUGGGCAUGUUCUGGGUGGUCUCAGAUUUUGAAGAAACGACUUUUUUACUGCACAAAAUAGUUUUACAAUCAGUUCCAUCAGACAGCCCCAGGGGCUCUCCUAGGGAAAGGGGCCAAUAGGCAAGGUUGCAUGGGGAUAAGAGAGGCAAGCGGCCAGUGGAAAACGGUUUUUUGUUUUUUUUUUCCUAACAGUUGGGCAUUUCUGUAGCUCUGAAAGCAAACUUGUUUGUUUCAUUUCAACGAUAGAAAAAAAACACUCCUGUUUUGGAAAUGUAACCCAGCAUAAAAAUACAUUUGCAAUGGGGAAAAAGAAAGCAGUUUAGGGCCACCCAGAAGAAAAUAUUUUUUCCCUGAUUUUUUUUUAAUUUGGUAUUUCCCAGUGUGGGUUUGCCUCAUUUUACAAAUAGCUGCCCAUGUCAAGAUGUGGGUAUGUGAUUUAAAUAUUUUAAUUUGAAUCACAUUUUACAUAGUCUAGGAAACUGACAAAAGAAUCCUAUAGAGAAUUGUUUUAUAAAGUGAAUAACUGCUUCUCUACCUACCCGCCCCUCUCAUUCUUCUUUUCUGUGCGUGUUUUUGGGGGGCUGUUAUGGGAUAAAUCUUGUUUGGCUUAAAAAUCACUAAAACGCAGCCUUUCAAAUCCAAAACAGAGAGCUUAGGUACCCAACAUUCUAUAGAAUGUAUUAUUUCCUCAAGAGGUUGCUAGGAACAGUUAUGUAGAUCUACCAGGUGCAGGGAAGCACUCCACACCCUCACCCAGGUCCUGUAUCCCUGCAAGACUGCGUUGGAAAGACUGAAGAGGCUGGAGUGCAGUGGCGCAAUCUUGGCUCACAGGAACCUCCGCCUCCCAGGUUCAAGAGAUUCUCAUGCCUCAGCCUCGCGAGUAGCUGGAAUUACAGAGCUGACAAGCCAUAGCAGGACGGCUAUCCCCUGAGAGAUAGGAGAGGAGGAGAAACAGCCUGACAGGGGCCUGGAGCAGCUGGCUGGCGUCAGUAAUUUCCUGCAGGAGACUCUGCUGGCCGAGCACACAUCACCCUUCUGUUGCUCCUCUGUAUUCUCCCUUGUGCUACUAAAAUACGCUAAUGUAACUCCUGGGCUGUGCUAAGCUAAAUGCAGUUAUUUAACCUCAUUUCUAUGGAACCCAGGUCUAAAGCAGCAACAUCUAUUUGGAACAAGAUGGGGAGGAGCAAGAGUGAAUUCAUGCUCUUCUUCAUGGAGGUGGAUGUUUCUGGAAGGAGGUUUGUGAUGUCCUUUGCAGGGACAUGGAUGGAGUUGGAAGCCCUUAUCCUCAGCAAACUAAUGCAGGAACAGAAAACCAAACACUGCAUGUUCUUACUUAUAAGUGGGAACUGAAUGAUGAGAACACAUGGACACAUAAGGGGAAAUGACACACACUGGGGCCUGUCAGAGCUGAGGGGUUGUGGGGAGAGGGAGAGAAUCAGGAAUAAUGGCUAAUGUAUGCUGUGCUUAAUAUCUAGGUGAUGGGAUGAUCUGUGCAGCAAACCACCAUGGCACACGUUUACCUAUGUAACAAACCUGGACAUCCUGCACAUGUAUCCUGGAACUUAAAAUAAAAGUUGAAGAAAAAAAAAAAAGAAAAAGUUUUGUGAAGUCUGGAGGUGUAAUGGACAGACACAGGCUUAGGGUGAGGCAGGCCCAUGUUCAGAUCCUUGCUUCCUCACUAAGCUAGCAGGGAGACUGGCUAUAUCACCGAGCCUCAGUUUCCUCACCUGUACAUCUGCUGUAGAAGUGGCAUAUCAUAUGCUGUCCUGGCUGUGACCUUUGGUAGCUCAUCACUGCCCUUCUUACUGUUCUCAGGGUAAACCCCUUUCCAGGCAGAGUUGCCAAGACACCCAGUAAAAUUUGAAUUUCAGAUAAACACUGAAUAAUUUUUUAGUAUAAUGAUGCUCCAAAUAUUGCAUGGGAUAUACUUAACACUAAAAAAAAAAUCAUUGUUUGUCUGAAAUUCAGAUUUAACUGGGCAACCUGCAUUUUUAAAUAAACUUUUAAUUUUAGAAUCAUUUUAGAUUUACAGAAAAAAAUAUAAAGAUCGUACAGAGUUACCACACACCCUGCACCCAGUUUCCCCUAUAACUAAUAUCUUACGUCGAGCCAGUGCAGUGGCGCACAUUUGUAAUCCUAGCUGCUCAGGAGGCUGAGGUGGGAGUAUUGUUUGAGCCCAGGAGCUCGAGGCUGCAGUGAGCCAUGAUUGCACCAUUGCACUCCAGCCUGAGUGACGGAGUAAGAUGCCAUCUUUUAAAAAAAAAUCUUAUGCCAGUAUGAUACAUUUGUCACAAUUAAUGAACUAAGAUUGAUAUAUUAUCAUUAACUAAAGUCUAUACUUCAUUAGAUUUCCUUAGUUUUUCCCCAGUGUCCUUUUCUAUUCCAGGAUCCUGUCCAGGACACCAUAUCAUAUUUAGUUGUCAAGUCUUCCUAGUUCCUCUUGGCUGUGACAGUUUUUUAGACUUCCCUUGUUUUUGAUGACCUUGACCGUUUUGAGGAGCACUGGUCUGGGGUUUUGUAGAAUGCCCCUCAAUUCAGCCUGUCAGAUGUUUUUCUCAUGAUUAGGCUGGGGUAUUAUUUUUUUGGGAGGAAGACCACAGAGGUCAAGAGCCAUUCUCUUCACAUCUCGUUAAGGGUCUGUACUGUCCAUAUGACUUACCACUGUUGAUGUUGACCUUGAUCACCUGGCUAAGGUAGUGUUCAUCAGGUUUAGCAACUGUAUUUUCAUUUGCUAAAUCUGUAACUCGAUUCCAGGCCUGUCAGUCUUUCAUGACCAGACCUUUGCUUACUGCUGCUGCCAUUUUUCUGCUCCAACCAUAGUGAACUGCUAACAAUUCCUCUAAUGAACUAUUCUCUGUCUCUCUUACUGCCAGGCCUUAGGGCUUGCUCUUUCCUUUGCCUGGAAUGUUCCACUCCCCCACAGCCUCCCAUCCACACCUCCCCUUCACCCGAUUAACUUACUUUUCAGUUGGGCUUCAGUGUUCCGCUUAGGUCUCACUCCUUCCGGGAAGAUUUCUUGCACCCUCCUCUGCCAAGACCAGGUUAGGUGUUGCUUCUCUGCCCUGGUCCUACUGUGUUGUGAUAUUUACCAUCCUGUGGUUGUGAACUGUUUGCUUGUCUCCCUGACCCCAGUGCAUCCCUGACAUCUUACACAGUGCCUUGUUGCAACUCAAUAAAUAAUUGCUGAAUAAAUGAAUGGUUACACCAGGCACUUCAGGUAAAGCCUUUAACACACUACCUGCCUUGUAAACAGUAGAUGCUCAGUAAAUGCUUGUCUUUUUCAAUGUAGGAAAAAUAAUCUUCCCUAGAUCUGAGCAACUGUAAUAAGUUUGUGCUCGCCCGACACCCGCAACACAUGUCCCUACCUGGAGAAGAGAUUCUGGAACAGUGGUCUCCUAGGAUUCCCUGAGAGCCACAGUUACCUGUAUCAAAGUAUCAAGGAGGCCACUUAAUGACAGAGAUAUUAGGGUAAGUAGGCUACUUUCCGUCAGUUUGCAGAUUAAAAAGGCAUCUUUCUCCCAGUGGAGAAACUGAAUUAUGAACCCCUUCGCCCAGAUUUCCAUAGUUGGACGCGCUGACCCAUUAUUUUUAGUGAAAGGGACAAAGGGACCCACCUCCUUCUCUUUUUGCUGCCCAUGUGCCACACACAUGUAAAUGACAUGUGUACCUAUUGUUGCUUGUCCUUGAUGAUGAGUACACUUGUACAUUGAUAUAUUUAUUAGUGUUUUGCUUUUCACUAAUCCAGCAUAGUUGUGACCCCACCCCUGAGACCUAAAGGAAGGAGACACCUCAUAGGGGGUCUCAGGAAUCUCUGAUGAACCUUAGGACUAAUUAUAAUUCUUUCAUUUAUUAUAACUUCAUGCCAGGUAUUUUAUCUGCCUCACCUCUAAUCCUCUCAAUAACCUUGCAUGUUUUUAUUCAUCCCGUAUUACAAAUGAGAAAGCUAAGGUUUGGGUGCUUAAGAAAUUUUCCCCAAGUUUUUUUUGUGGUGGAGCCAGCUUGGAGCUAGGGCAAUAGACUUCAGAGUCUCAGCUCCAUCCUCUCCAUGGUUCAGAAAGUUCUCUAGUUCUGUAAGAGACAGCCAACAUCCCCCAAGGGCUUGUGCUCAUUGGAAUGGCUCUCGGGUCCACUCCUCCCUUUGUAUCCCCAGGUCACCUCACUAGAGCAGACCUCCAUCAGUCAGUGUUUACCCACCUUCCAGAGCCUCCUUCCUGGACUCUUGCCCCCGGAUUCCCCACCCAUAGCACUCUCACACUGCCAUCGCCCAACUCAGGAUCCCAAGAAUGCCCAUUUUCAGCCUUAUAAAUCCUUUGCCUUGCUUCCAAGACCCUAUGGUCUAUUUCUUUUCCAAGCCUUCUCUCCGUGCAUCAGAUUCUUCAUGAAACUUACACUGACUAGUCCCCCACCCAUCUCCCUUUCCUUGGAUCUUCAUGGCACCUAGGUAUGCAAGGCAUAAAGUAGUGUAGAAUGCCCUUCUGGCUUGUGUGGAACCACAGGGGAGUCCCCUGGGUUUCUAAUAUGGUUUUCCCAUCUGGAUUGACACCCCCGAAGGACAAAAACCUCUUGUUAAAAAAGUCAACUUUAUUGAGGUAUAACAUACAUACACCCUGUUUUAAGUGUUGAGUUUGAUAAGGUUUGACAAAUGUAUACACCCAGGUAACCACCGUCACAACCAAGAUAUAGAACAUUUCUAUCACCCCAGAAAUACCUCUGAGCCCCUUUGUAGUCAAUUCCUCCACCCCCGACCCAGGAAGCCACUUGUUGGAUUUCUAUUAAUAUAGAUUAGUUUUGCCUGCCGUUGAACUCCACAAAAAUGCAGUCACAAAGGGUGUAGUCUUUUGUGUCAGCCUAUUUUGGUUAGCACGAUAUUUUAAAGAUUCCUCCAUACUGUUUAUUACUUUCUUCUUGCUGAGUAGUAUUCUAUGGUAGAGACUAUACUACAACUUGAUUGUCCAUGUUGACUAAAUUUGAGGCUGUUUCACAUUUUUGGCUAUUGUGAAUAAAGUAGCUAUGAAUGUUUACACACAAGCCUUUUGUGAAUGUGUUUUCAUUUCUU